GUUGCUUUAAAGGUCAGGGUCACUGCAAAUCAAUAUAAGUUCUUCUGACUGAUCACCUUUAUCCUAUGAUGAAACAUUUCUAUGCUGAUGGGAGUGGUUUCUUUCAGCAUGACCCCUUCCAUAUCUACCGGGUAUGAGGGUUCACUAAAUGAUAUGAUGAGUAUGAAAAUCAGGUAAAUCAUACGAUAUGGCCUGCCCAUUCAACAGAUCUCAGAGAUUUUGGAGCAACGUUUUAGAUAGGACUGUCUACCACCAUCAUUAACAUUUUCAUUUGAGGGAAUAUCUUUUGAAAGAAUGGUCUUCAUUCCUCCAGUACAUUUCUAGAAAUUUGUAGAAUCUCUGCUAAGGUGCACUGAGGCUGUUAUGGAGGCUUUUGGUGGCCCAACUCUUUACCAAGACACUUUUGUUGGUUUUUCCUUUGAUUUGCCACCCCGCUCUGAUGUUGUCUCCUUCAGUUUGACUCGGCCAUGCAUGCUUCCACAUAGGCCACAUAGGUCCUAGAGCAUGCAUAUAUAUAUAUAUAUACACACACACAUCUAACAAGGUGCUGGUAUUGCUUCCAAAGCUGAUGCCUAUACGGUAACCUAAUGCCUGGGAACUUUUCAGAUUUUUUCUCUUGUAAAAAAAAUCUUGCAAAAUUGUACAUUUCAGUAAACAUAUGUACAUUUGUGAAGACUAUGGUGGACUAAAUUUUGUACAAAUAAAAUUUUCAAUUUGCAAAUCUGAGGAGCACUGUUUAACUGGCAAGGCAGUGUAAUAAAUAGAAGUUCCAUUACUAGGGUUCAUGCCACUGUGGAGGUGGCACUUGCAAAACCUUCUGUGGUCGAAAACGGCUGUUUCACUGACAGAUGCAAUGAAAUAAAUUGGAUCUUCACUGCUAAUGCUGAUGUCUUUGACCAACUACACACUCAGAGUAAACACCUAAAGUCAAUAAAUAAAUGUUAUCUGUCACCUUGAACAUAAUUGUCUGUGAUGUGGAAGGACUGGAAUUUAGAGAGGAACAUAUAUUCUCAGGGUUAGAGGUGAAACAUGUAAAACACUACACUUUUAUGCUACACAACUCCUCCAUUUGAUUAUGUAACGUUUCGACUCAUACCGGUAGAAACACAGGCUGGUUCUCUGAACACCCACUUGCAUCGUGUUGGUGGAAUUUUUCAUGAAUUUUUUUUGUUUUAAAUAUACAUAUAGAUGAAAACCAGCCAUUCUGAUUAGCUUAUUGGUGUACAUAGGCAUGCAGUAGGAAAACAAUUGUGUAUGCAUUCAAUUUGUUACUAUAAUGGUCAGUCCAUUGGAUCUUGUCAUAUGUGGGUGAAAUAUGAGUCAUCA
This is a long non-coding RNA of Ictalurus punctatus (channel catfish), 1326 nucleotides long. Lineage: Eukaryota; Metazoa; Chordata; Actinopteri; Siluriformes; Ictaluridae. The record is from Ensembl.